CGCUGGCGGCAGGCCUAACACAUGCAAGUCGAGCGCCCCGCAAGGGGAGCGGCGGACGGGUGAGUAACGCGUGGGAACGUACCCCUUUGCUACGGAAUAGCCUCGGGAAACUGGGAGUAAUACCGUAUGUGCCCUUCGGGGGAAAGAUUUAUCGGCAAAGGAUCGGCCCGCGUUGGAUUAGGUAGUUGGUGGGGUAAUGGCCUACCAAGCCGACGAUCCAUAGCUGGUUUGAGAGGAUGAUCAGCCACACUGGGACUGAGACACGGCCCAGACUCCUACGGGAGGCAGCAGUGGGGAAUCUUAGACAAUGGGCGCAAGCCUGAUCUAGCCAUGCCGCGUGAGCGAUGAAGGCCUUAGGGUUGUAAAGCUCUUUCAGUGGGGAAGAUAAUGACUGUACCCACAGAAGAAGCCCCGGCUAACUCCGUGCCAGCAGCCGCGGUAAUACGGAGGGGGCUAGCGUUGUUCGGAAUUACUGGGCGUAAAGCGCACGUAGGCGGACC
Molecule: ribosomal RNA, 500 nt
Filed under: uncultured bacterium
Lineage: Bacteria
Description: bacterial SSU rRNA
Rfam family: Bacterial small subunit ribosomal RNA
Source: RNAcentral